Cloeon dipterum is the source of this 394-nucleotide long non-coding RNA. RefSeq lists it as uncharacterized. The record is from RefSeq and is a predicted model, not a curated record. The transcript is spliced from 2 exons. Lineage: Eukaryota; Metazoa; Arthropoda; Insecta; Ephemeroptera; Baetidae.
CAGAGAGGGUUCGGCGAUGCGCAGAUGCCCCAUUUCCCAGUAAAGGUGACGGGGAUGAGGUCCUCUGAACAAAAGAAGAGCCAGAUGCGUUCAUGCCGAGAGGGGACUGGCCCAGAACGGCGCUUGCUGCCUUCCAGCAGCUGCGUAUGGCUCCUAGCAUUAAAUUGGCGAAACAAUAAACAAACGAGAGCGGAGCGACCCUUACCUUUGGAGAGAUCGAAUUGUUGAUCCAAUCCUCGGUCCACGGCUUUGUGCCUCUGACUGGUGGUUUAUUCAAACCGAUUGGCGUUUGCAGGCUGUAGUUUGGAGUCUCUAAAGCUGAAAGAAGAAUAAUAUUUACGUCAGGGAAUUAUUGUUUCAUAUCCAAUAAAUUGAAAUUCUUAGGAACAAAAGG